Equus quagga is the source of this 764-nucleotide long non-coding RNA. RefSeq lists it as uncharacterized. The record is from RefSeq and is a predicted model, not a curated record. Lineage: Eukaryota; Metazoa; Chordata; Mammalia; Perissodactyla; Equidae. The transcript has 3 exons.
ACACAGACUCGCCGACAAUCCCUGCUGGGAAAUAGGCCAUCAGGCAGUCCCUGCACGGUGCUGGCGUGGCCUCUAAGCCCCCAGUGGAGGCGAGGGGAAGCUCGAUGCUCCAGGAGACCACCCGUCCUCAAGGACCACCGUCAGAAAGAAGCUGCAUCCCUCAGGCUAGAAGGAUGCCCGGCACACAGUCGGCACUCCAUAAUUAUUGGAUGUGCCAGUGAAGAGGAGGAGAGUGAGGCUCACUGCAGCGAACCAGAGGAUUGCUGAGUUCCUGGCCGCCCUCUUCGAGCUCCAGCAUAGAAUCUCUACACAUUUUGAAUAUUUCGGUUUAGGAUUUGGACAAAAGAUCCCCACAGUUACCUUCUCUCCCUGUGUGGUGUUGGAACUUCCUUCAAAUGUAGCUAACCAGGAACUUGGGCGAUAAGAGGCUCUCAGCUAGAGGAAAAAACAUGAUUCGGCAACUCACUUCUGGAAAGACGUGCUCCUACCCCUCCCACUCCAGCAAAACGCCGGGGGCAGACCCGGGAGUGGAAAGUUGCCAUCUUCAGUUUGAUGACGUUGCUGGGACGUGCUACAGGAUGGCCUGCCCGCCACGUGGCAGCCCCAGCCACAGAAGGUGCAGCCUACCUCUUGGGGUCAGGUGUGGGAGACGGGGGCCAGUCUCCUUCUCAGAUCACCUGGACAGAAUCCCAGUGAGCCGGAAAUUCUGGGGCUGAGUAGAGGGCUAAAUCUAAUCUAAUUCAUGUCUGUGUCACAAAGUGUGU